This 875-nucleotide ribosomal RNA is filed under the name uncultured Bacteroidota bacterium. RNAcentral describes it as "bacterial SSU rRNA". It matches the Rfam family "Bacterial small subunit ribosomal RNA", at positions 43 to 919 of the family's 1533-position model. The record is from RNAcentral. Lineage: Bacteria; Pseudomonadati; Bacteroidota.
CAGGCCUAACACAUGCAAGUCGAGCGGUAGAUUUUCUUCGGAGAAUUGAGAGCGGCGUACGGGUGAGGAACACGUGUGCGACUACCUUUAUCUGGAGGAUAGCCUUUCGAAAGGAAGAUUAAUACUCCAUAAUAUAAUUAUUGGCAUCAAUACCUAUUGAAAGCUCCGGCGAUAAAGAUGGGCACGCGCACAGAUUAGCUAGUUGGUGAGGUAACGGCUCACCAAGGCAGUGAUCUUUAGGGGGCCUGAGAGGGUGAUCCCCCACACUGGUACUGAGACACGGACCAGACUCCUACGGGAGAGGAGCAGUGAGGAAUAUUGGUCAAUGGGUGCAAGCCUGAACCAGCCAUCCCGCGUGAAGGACGACUGCACUAUGGGUUGUAAACUUCUUUUGUAUAGGGAUAAACCUACCCUCGUGAGGGUAGCUGAAGGUACUAUACGAAUAAGCACCGGCUAACUCCGUGCCAGCAGCCGCGGUAAUACGGAGGGUGCAAGCGUUAUCCGGAUUUAUUGGGUUUAAAGGGUCCGUAGCGGACUUAUAAGUCAGUGGUGAAAGCCUGUCGCUUAACGAUAGAACUGCCAUUGAUACUGUCAGUCUUGAGUAUAUUUGAAGUAGCUGGAAUAAGUAGUGUAGCGGUGAAAUGCAUAGAUAUUACUUAGAACACCAAUUGCGAAGGCAGGUUACUAAGAUAUAACUGACGCUGAGGGACGAAAGCGUCGGGAGCGAACAGGAUUAGAUACCCUGGUAGUCCACGCCGUAAACGAUGCUAACUCGUUUUUGGAUUUUCCGGAUUCAGAGACCAAGCGAAAGUGAUAAGUUAGCCACCUGGGGGAGUACGCUCGCCAGAGUGAAAAUCAAAGGGAAUUGACGGGGG